GACGAACGCGGCGGCGUGCUUAACACAUGCAAGUCGAACGCUGAAGGCUCAGCUUGCUGGGCGGGAUGAGUGGCGAACGGGUGAGUAACACGUGAGUAACCUGCCCUCUUCUUUGGGAUAACGGUCGGAAACGGCUGCUAAUACCGGGUAUUCACUGUCCUUCGCAUGGGGGGUGGUGGAAAGGUUUUUUCUGGUGGGGGAUGGGCUCGCGGCCUAUCAGCUUGUUGGUGGGGUGAUGGCUUACCAAGGCUUUGACGGGUAACCGGCCUGAGAGGGUGACCGGUCACAUUGGGACUGAGAUACGGCCCAGACUCCUACGGGAGGCAGCAGCGGGGAAUAUUGCACAAUGGGCGAAAGCCUGAUGCAGCGACGCCGCGUGAGGGAUGAAGGCCUUCGGGUUGUAAACCUCUUUCGCUCAUGGUCAAGCCGCAACUUUGGGUUGUGGUGAGGGUAGUGGGUAAAGAAGCACCGGCUAACUACGUGCCAGCAGCCGCGGUAAUACGUAGGGUGCGAGCGUUGUCCGGAAUUAUUGGGCGUAAAGGGCUUGUAGGCGGUUUGUCGCGUCUGCCGUGAAAUCCUCUGGCUUAACUGGGGGCGUGCGGUGGGUACGGGCAGACUUGAGUGCGGUAGGGGAGACUGGAACUCCUGGUGUAGCGGUGGAAUGCGCAGAUAUCAGGAAGAACACCGGUGGCGAAGGCGGGUCUCUGGGCCGUUACUGACGCUGAGGAGCGAAAGCGUGGGGAGCGAACAGG
This 752-nucleotide ribosomal RNA is filed under the name uncultured Actinomyces sp. RNAcentral describes it as "bacterial SSU rRNA". It matches the Rfam family "Bacterial small subunit ribosomal RNA", at positions 28 to 776 of the family's 1533-position model. Lineage: Bacteria; Bacillati; Actinomycetota; Actinomycetes; Actinomycetales; Actinomycetaceae. The record is from RNAcentral.